This 76-nucleotide ribosomal RNA is filed under the name Rickettsia aeschlimannii. RNAcentral describes it as "partial 23S ribosomal RNA". The record is from RNAcentral. Lineage: Bacteria; Pseudomonadati; Pseudomonadota; Alphaproteobacteria; Rickettsiales; Rickettsiaceae.
GUACGAUAGGUAGGGGUGUGGAAGCACAGUAAUGUGUGUAGCUAACCGAUACUAAUAGCUCGAUUGAUUUACUUUG